RNAcentral lists this microRNA precursor (69 nucleotides) under Bombyx mori (domestic silkworm). RNAcentral describes it as "mir-2774 microRNA precursor family". It matches the Rfam family "mir-2774 microRNA precursor family". Lineage: Eukaryota; Metazoa; Arthropoda; Insecta; Lepidoptera; Bombycidae. The record is from Rfam by way of RNAcentral.
GUUAUAUAAGGAACAUUUCGUUCUACCGAAGAAUAUCACCCGCUCGGUGGAAGAUCUUCCCUUUGUCGU